Long non-coding RNA from Myripristis murdjan (pinecone soldierfish), 1691 nucleotides. Ensembl lists it as uncharacterized. NCBI's taxonomy places the organism in Eukaryota, Metazoa, Chordata, Actinopteri, Holocentriformes, Holocentridae. The record is from Ensembl.
AUCCAUCUCCUCGGUCCCAUCUGUCUCGUAGCACUCCUCCAUCGUGGAGUUGUCCAUGUCAUCUAGGCUAUUGAUCACAGGGGCUUAAUCCAUUUCACUCAUCAAACCUCUGGGAGCCUGGAGCUGCUACCUGGGCCCUAAUACGUCCAUCAGUCAGUCAGCGUCCAGUCAGCUGGCAGGCUCAAUCUCGCCCAGCCCAGGGAUUCCUUAAUGGUCUGACCCCCUGCACCCCCCGCAACCAGGGGCCUCAUUUCAUUAAUCUAAGCCCACAUGGAAACUCAUUCCCUGCCUGACAGCCAGACCUCUCCCCCAGGGCAGUGUGAGGGUCUGCGGGACAGCGAGGGAGGGGUGCGCUGCGGCACUGUGAUCAAUAGUGCUUGUGACCAAACAUCUCAAAAGCACAUUAAAAUGCCACUCAUCCUGGCCCCCGUUCCGGGACCCUCUCCAAAUAAAUCAAGGGCUGGUCCCAGCAGGUGAAGAGGCUUUUCUGAAGGCGCUGCUCCAGUCGAGGGCCCUCGAAGCCCAGCUGGCGCUACUUUACCCCGAUACUGUAGCAGUCAUUUAGUGGACCGUCAGUGGCUCAGAGAUGACUUGGAAUCAGUGCUUAAUUAGUUAGCAGCAGCAGUCGUAGCAUUUCUCCCCUGUCAGUGGACCUACAUUACACCAUCUGUCUUAGCAGCAAACACUUAGUGGACCAUCAGACAGCAGCCACCAGUAGUUUGCCACCAUUGGGCUGACAACGCUCCAUGCUGCAAAAAAUACCCCUCUAAACAAAUAAUUUAUUCUAGAGCUGGGUGAUAUAUCAAUAUUAUAUCAAUAUGGCAUAAAUGUUGUCUUUUCCUGGUUUUAAAGGCUGCAAUACAGCAAGGGGAUACAAUUUUCUGAACUGCUCUUCUAUUCGCCUAUUCUACCUGUGUAGGUAAAAGAGCACACACACACACACACACAAUGACCAUUCACUUCAAGGCAUAAAAGAAGUCAAGAAGAGCAGCAAACAGAACUAAAAACCUAAGCUUUCUUCCGAGCUAAGAGCACUUUAGACAGUUUUGAACUUUAUGACUUAAACAGAAUCCACCAACAUGGAAUUUUAUGAACUGAGUUCAUUCAUUUAUAUACAGUUGUGACAUUUAUAUAAAACCAGAAUGUAUUGUUUUAUAUAGUGCCACAUUGCCAUCUACAGUAGUGACUGAGUUACUGAUAUAUUGACUAUUAUUCUAUUGAUGUUCUUUAUCAUUAUCAAUCACCAAGUGUAUGAUCUAGUAAUGAUUUGACUACUAAUAUCUUGUAGAGUUUAAAUGUACUCGACUGCAACUUCUUAGAAAAUCAAGGAUUUACUGUUUUAUUCUGUAUUCAUUUGUGUGAUCAAUAUUAGGCAAUUUCUAAGUGUUUGUCCAUAGAAUAUUACGAUGUCAACGUUGAUGACAGAAUUGAGUAUCCAAUUAAAAGCGCCUAGUUUUCAAAUAAUCUCCUUAAAUUGAAUAGCAAUCCAAUUAUUUUUCCUCAUUUAAAGGCAAGAUCUUUUUUUGCUCCUCACAAUUAAUUAGUAAAAAAGACAUUCCUUCAAAAGAGUGCAGUAUUCCUUUUCCUUACUUGCCAACAAAACUAUAAAAAGUUUUUAUGACUUUUUGACAUUGUUUUUGUGCUCCUAGUCCACGGGUUUCUUGCAACAUUACAAAAAUAAUAAAUGGCAA